RNAcentral lists this ribosomal RNA (460 nucleotides) under uncultured bacterium. RNAcentral describes it as "partial 16S ribosomal RNA". It matches the Rfam family "Bacterial small subunit ribosomal RNA", at positions 338 to 795 of the family's 1533-position model. The record is from RNAcentral.
CCUACGGGUGGCAGCAGUGAGGAAUAUUGGUCAAUGGGCGCGAGCCUGAACCAGCCAAGUAGCGUGAAGGAUGACUGCCCUACGGGUUGUAAACCUCUUUUAUAAAGGAAUAAAGUGAGGCACGUGUCCCUUUUUGUAUGUACUUUAUGAAUAAGGAUCGGCUAACUCCGUACCAGCAGCCGCGGUAAUACGGAGGAUCCGAGCGUUAUCCGGAUUUAUUGGGUUUAAAGGGAGCGUAGAUGGGUUGUUAAGUCAGUUGUGAAAGUUUGCGGCUCAACCGUAGAAUUGCAGUUGAUACUGGGAGUCUUGAGUACAGCUGAGGUAGGCGGAAUGCGUGGUGUAGCGGUGAAAUGCUUAGAUAUCGCGAAGAACCCCGAUUGCGAAGGCAGCUUACUAAACUGCCACUGACAUUGAGGCUCGAAAGUGUGGGUAUCAAACAGGAUUAGAUACCCGAGUAGUC